AUGCCCUAAACUUAUGAGUAAGGAAAAUAACGAUUUGGGCUGAUGCCCAAAUCCUCACUGCUUAUGUGAGACAAAUUUUUGAGUGGGUAAAGGUCACCCAAAGGUGACCCACCUACUUUGCGGGAUGCCUGGGUGCCGCAAUCUGCCCA
Molecule: small nuclear RNA, 149 nt
Organism: Nycticebus coucang (slow loris)
Lineage: Eukaryota; Metazoa; Chordata; Mammalia; Primates; Lorisidae
Product: U12 minor spliceosomal RNA
Exons: 1
Source: RefSeq, a predicted model, not a curated record